UCCGAACGGAAUGGCUUCCGGCAUUCAGUGGGCGCACGGGUGAGUAACACGUGGGAACCUACCCUGGGAUGGGGAAUAACCACUGGGAAACGGUGGCUAAUACCGCAUACGCCCUUAGGGGGAAAGGCUUCGGCCGUCCGAGGAGGGGCCCGCGCCCGAUUAGCUUGUUGGUGGGGUAAUGGCCUACCAAGGCGACGAUCGGUAGCUGGUCUGAGAGGAUGAUCAGCCACACUGGGACUGAGACACGGCCCAGACUCCUACGGGAGGCAGCAGUGGGGAAUAUUGGACAAUGGGGGAAACCCUGAUCCAGCAAUGCCGCGUGAGUGAUGAAGGCCUUAAGGUUGUAAAGCUCUUUCGCCUGCGACGAUGAUGACGGUAGCAGGAGAAGAAGCCCCGGCUAAUUCCGUGCCAGCAGCCGCGGUAAUACGGAAGGGGCUAGCGUUGUUCGGAAUUACUGGGCGUAAAGCGCGCGUAGGCGGCUUUUCAAGUUAGGUGUGAAAGCCCUGGGCUCAACCUAGGAAUUGCACUUAAGACUGGAAGGCUAGGGUCCGAGAGAGGGUGGUGGAAUUCCCAGUGUUGAGGUGAAAUUCGUACAUAUUGGGAGGAACACCGGUGGCGAAAGCG
RNAcentral lists this ribosomal RNA (624 nucleotides) under uncultured bacterium. RNAcentral's name for it is "bacterial SSU rRNA". It matches the Rfam family "Bacterial small subunit ribosomal RNA", at positions 62 to 723 of the family's 1533-position model. The record is from RNAcentral.